This is a non-coding RNA of Chlorobium phaeobacteroides BS1, 77 nucleotides long. NCBI's taxonomy places the organism in Bacteria, Pseudomonadati, Chlorobiota, Chlorobiia, Chlorobiales, Chlorobiaceae. The record is from Rfam.
AAUCGUUAGCCAAUGGUUGGUUGAUCGCUGUCCGAUGAUUUGUGCUUUUGAUUGUUUGAUGGCGUUUCUCUCUUUAU